AGCAGUAGGGAAUCUUCCACAAUGGGCGAAAGCCUGAUGGAGCAAUGCCGCGUGAGUGAAGAAGGAUUUCGGUUCGUAAAACUCUGUUGCAAGGGAAGAACAAGUAGCGUAGUAACUGGCGCUACCUUGACGGUACCUUGUUAGAAAGCCACGGCUAACUACGUGCCAGCAGCCGCGGUAAUACGUAGGUGGCAAGCGUUGUCCGGAAUUAUUGGGCGUAAAGCGCGCGCAGGUGGUUCCUUAAGUCUGAUGUGAAAGCCCACGGCUCAACCGUGGAGGGUCAUUGGAAACUGGGGAACUUGAGUACAGAAGAGGAUAGUGGAAUUCCAAGUGUAGCGGUGAAAUGCGUAGAGAUUUGGAGGAACACCAGUGGCGAAGCGACUAUCUGGUCUGUAACUGACACUGAG
RNAcentral lists this ribosomal RNA (407 nucleotides) under uncultured bacterium. RNAcentral describes it as "bacterial SSU rRNA". It matches the Rfam family "Bacterial small subunit ribosomal RNA", at positions 350 to 750 of the family's 1533-position model. The record is from RNAcentral.